Long non-coding RNA from Capra hircus (goat), 2779 nucleotides. The record is from Ensembl. NCBI's taxonomy places the organism in Eukaryota, Metazoa, Chordata, Mammalia, Artiodactyla, Bovidae.
CUGUAGCCUAUCAGGCUUCUCCGUCCAUGGGAUUUUCCAGGCAAGAGUGCUGGAGUGGAUUGCCAUUUCCUUCUCCAGGGGAUCUUCCCAAUCCAGGAAUCGAACCCAGGUCUCCCGCAUUGCAGGCAGACGCUUUACCGUCUGAGCCACCAGGGAAGCCCCAAAAAUGUGGCAGUGGGGGAAGCCAAUUAUAUCAGGUUUUGGUGAAGUGGGAGUUCAAUACUAUGAGAUACUCAAUUUACAAAAGGUUUUUUGUUAGUCAUGAGGAUCUGAUGUCACCAUGAAGGGAUUUAGUGCUUCUCUAGAUAUGAGGAGAUGCAAGGAUUGGGAUCAUAAAAUCUGUUCCUAAAAACAUCCAAGUAUCUAAAGACCUGUCUUACCAGAUUCCCUGGAGCACAGAGUGCCUCCCUCCACCCUGAACUCCCUCAGGGGUUGAUGAAGGUCAGCAGCUGCAGCAGCAUGGUGUUCGGUCUCCAGAGAGGCAGAUGGCAAAUGCCUUUUUUGUUCAGUCACUGGCAAUGCUCUUGGUUCUACAAGAUCAGACAGUGUUGUUACUUUGUCCUAGAAGAGCCUCCUCAGACAAGAAUGGCAAAGGCAGGGCAUUACCCUGGAGAAGUGCUCCUGGGAUGGAGGACAGUGAUGAAGGAGGACUUGCUGUUUCAUCCCGAAGGUUGAAAUCCCAUGUGUAUCCUGAAAUGACUUGCUCAUCCUGUUUCUUAACGCCCAUGCCUCACUUCCUGCAGAUAAGAACAGCUCAGAAUCAUUAGCUGCAUCCUAUAAUUUAAAAUAAAUAUGAACAAUCUGUUUAUUGUUACCAGCAAUGUGUUAAGCUAAAUGAAAAGCUGUACAACAAACUUGAAGAAGAUAUUCAAUAAACAAACAAACUCAAACCACCAAGUUCAGAGACAAGGCAGCUAAAGUGCCUGAAGGACAGUUUCAACUCCUCUCUCCAUAGUGUGCAAAGUCACAGAGCUUAUAGACCUGCUUCUUCAUCCAAAUCUCUGCUUAAAGUCACCUCCUCUAGAAGCUCGGGGUAACUAUUUAAAAUUGGCUGCCUUCAUCACUCUCUAAGUCAUGCUCCUGUUUUAUUAUCCUCAGAGUACUUCUCACUCUCAGAAAAAAAAAAAAAGUAUGUCUUUUCAAAAUCUAGACCUCAUUUUUUUUUUAAAUCUCCUCUUUAGAAUAUAAGUUCCAUGAGAGCAGGGAUCUCUAGGUGUUAGAACCUGUAACGGUGGUUGACACCCAGGAGAUAGUCAAUAAAUGUUGCUAAAUGAAUAUGCUGUCUGAACUUCUCAAAGUAAGUGGCGAGGAGGAGAGAUUUAAAAAGAGGGGUUGAAAAAGAAACUAUCUCUUUAUUCAUCUAAUCUUUCUGCCUCUUCAAAAGGGAGGCAAACAUUAAAAAAUAAACAAAAGAAGCUAAUUGGUGGCUUUUAUGCUGCUUUAUAAAUUCAGGGAUUUUCACGGGUAAUUUUGACAGUUGUGUGUUUUUUGCCUUACGCACUGACAUUAGAAACAACACUGUGAGAUGCGGUUUCUUAUACUUAUAAAAUGGUUGGCCUACAGAGGGUGCUAGUUCACUUCAGAAAACUAACAUAAAUGAUUAAACUUUCUUUGUCAGACGGCAUCAUCGACUCGAUGGACAUGAGUUUGAGUAAGCUCCAGGAGUUAGUGAUGGACAGGGAAGCCUGGUGUGCUGCAGUCCAUGGGGUCGCAAAGAGCCAGACAUGACUGAGCGACUGAACCAAAACUUUCUUUGGGUAAAGAGUUUACAAAGCAAGCAUGGAAGCAGCUUAGUAACAGCUAAUAAAAUGCUUAAAUUUGCCACAUUUGGCUUCAUAACCAAAGUUUAAAUUAAAAAAAGAAGAAAACAGUCUGUGAAAAUGCCAGAAGGAGUCAAAGACCUCCCCUGGAGAAAAGAAGUGACAUUAUUUUUCAAAUGCAAAGAAGAGAAGCCAGGCUAAGAGAAGUAUCCAAAAGUAGAGAAUAUUGUGUAUAUUGUGAAAGAGAAUAUUGAGGCUGGGAGAAGUUGCAAGUCUUGGAGGAGAGGUUGGCAGGCCUCUGCUAAAUUCUACCCCACCCUUCAUGCUGAGAAAUGAGGACUUUAAAGGCCUGGUGUUAGAUGCCUUUAGACUCUCAAGAUAGGAGUAGUCUUCCUUCGGCUGCUUAACUGAGCACAUCAUUCGUGAAACUGAUCCUGGGUUUAGGAUUCAGCAAGGCCUGUGGGGAAGAAGAAUUACUUGAGAGUUUUGAAAUAUGUGCUUGGUCACAGUAGGCUUUGUGGGAACAACAGAGGAGCCUGGUAAGAAGGAGAAGCCUCUGCAAGGUUUGGAUCUGCUGAAAAAUCUUCAGGAGAGGAAGUGAAACCAGCCAGUUAGAUCUCAGUGAAGACUUUAGAACCCUCUAGAGUGAACAAACACUUGAGGCAGCUCUGAUAGUCCAGAACCUCAAGGCAGAGAUUCAUAAUCCUAGUACUGUAGCCUUCAGUGAUCAGAUACUAAUUUUCAAGGAAAUUUGGACUCAAAAACCUACAAGAGCUGUGACACAGCUUAUUAAUACUGUCCUUGCCUUUGUCGGUUCAAGGUAGAUUAAUUACUUUACUAUAAUGUUCAAUGGUUAAAUUUUAAAACAAUAAAGGACAAGGGAUGAGUUUGUAAAAACAAUCAGCCACCUCCUUCAAUUUAUCCGUGAAAUCAAUUAAAUCAGCUUUUUGGGCACAGUGUAGGGAAAAUAUCUAUUUUCCCAGUGAACUAUCUCACUGAUUAAAUGUUUCAUUUAGAAG